This 71-nucleotide transfer RNA is filed under the name Camelus bactrianus (Bactrian camel). It matches the Rfam family "tRNA". From Rfam's summary of the family: Transfer RNA (tRNA) molecules are approximately 80 nucleotides in length. Their secondary structure includes four short double-helical elements and three loops (D, anti-codon, and T loops). Further hydrogen bonds mediate the characteristic L-shaped molecular structure. tRNAs have two regions of fundamental functional importance: the anti-codon, which is responsible for specific mRNA codon recognition, and the 3' end, to which the tRNAs corresponding amino acid is attached (by aminoacyl-tRNA synthetases). tRNAs cope with the degeneracy of the genetic code in two manners: having more than one tRNA (with a specific anti-codon) for a particular amino acid; and 'wobble' base-pairing, i.e. permitting non-standard base-pairing at the 3rd anti-codon position. RNAcentral also lists the same sequence under 2 other names. Lineage: Eukaryota; Metazoa; Chordata; Mammalia; Artiodactyla; Camelidae. The record is from Rfam by way of RNAcentral.
AGAGUAUAGCUCUGUGGCAGAGCGUACGCUUAGCAUGCACGAGGUCCUGGGUUCAAUCCCCAGUGCCUCUA